CAAUAGCGUAUAUUAAAGUUGUUGCAGUUAAAAAGCUCGUAGUUGAAUUUCUGGUGGGCGCGCCGGUCUUCCAAGUGUUGUACUGGGCGCAGUCCGCCAUCCUUGUGGAGAGGGCUCGCAUUGAGUUGCGUGUCGGAUCUGCAUCAUUUACUGUGAAAAAAUUAGAGUGUUUAAAGCAGGCCGUCGCUUGAAUACAUUAGCAUGGAAUAAUAAGAUAGGACUUCGGUCUAUUUUGUUGGUUGCGAACCGAGGUAAUGAUUAAUAGGGAUAGUUGGGGGUAUUCAUAUUUAAUUGUCAGAGGUGAAAUUCUUGGAUUUAUGAAAGAUGAACAACUGCGAAAGCAUUUACCAAGGAUGUUUUCAUUAA
Molecule: ribosomal RNA, 366 nt
Filed under: uncultured eukaryote
Lineage: Eukaryota
Description: partial 18S ribosomal RNA
Rfam family: Eukaryotic small subunit ribosomal RNA
Source: RNAcentral